Long non-coding RNA from Papaver somniferum (opium poppy), 3396 nucleotides. RefSeq lists it as uncharacterized. NCBI's taxonomy places the organism in Eukaryota, Viridiplantae, Streptophyta, Magnoliopsida, Ranunculales, Papaveraceae. The record is from RefSeq and is a predicted model, not a curated record. The transcript has 4 exons.
UCUCCCAUAUUUUUGAUUGACCACGUCUCGGGGAUUCUUCCUUUCUAAGCUAUUAACUUAUUAUAUACCCGUUUUUUACUAAAACCUAAAAAACCAAAAACCAAACAAAAAGAUAACCAGAAAGGCUUGUGAAGCUAUUCUGAUGAAUAUAUCUUCCCCGUGAAAAUUUAUUUACUUCAAUAAAAAAAUAAAUGAUUUGCUGAUUUGCUCUCAUAAAGCUUUAUAUCAUUCCCUUCUGGAAGAUUCACCCGGUUCUCGUGUUCUUCUUCAAGUAAUGAAAUUCCAUCAUUGUUCUUCUUCCCUAUUAUAUCUGAGAAAUUAUGGAUAUGAUUAAUAUUCGUUUAAUUCCAGAUAAAGAUUAUUGUUAGAGUUUACUGUAAAUCUAAUUUGUGACUCUUAUUAUAAUUAUUGUUCCUCCCUGAUCAUACGAUUCUUCUGCUCUUGUAAUCAUUUUUUAUCCCUAAUUUAUAUUUCAUGCUAAAGAAACAUUUGAUAAGAUUUUCUAUGGAUUUUGGUAUCACAUCAGGUGAGCAUCAUAUAGCAGUACGAUUUUUUUGGUAUUGAUUUAUAUAGAAAUAAAUAAUUUAACUUGUUUGUGCAGCAGUUGCUUGAUGAAUUGUCCCAGCUAAACAGAAUCACACUAUAAAGAUUUUCUUUGUCAAACUAUUCUGCAGAAAUGCUUAUGGAUAUUGUCUGGUUAGAUUUGAAAGUUGCGCAUGGUUUCUGUUUCUCAAUUGUAUGUGGAACGGGAAACACCAUCACCAAGCACUCUCAUUUACCUAACGAAUUAUGGGAGCAUAGUAAUUGGUCUGGAUGCAGAUAGAGUGAUAAAGAUAGACUUCGUACCACCCAGUGAAACUUGUAUGAUUGCAUUGCCCAAGAAGUUAUGCAGAUUGGAGGAGGCUUGUCCCUGAAGGAGGACGUUGGGAUAGCUUAAAUGUGUGUACUGUUCUAUAAUUAAUCAAUUAGUUUUUCAUACACAUUUCCACUUUAGUAUUAGGCUCCAUUUGGAACAUGCUAGACUUUGAAAAGGUAUCAUCUAUUGCAUUGGUAUUAUUGUAUAAGCAUUAAGUCUCUUUGUUGAAUUAUGAACCUGACAGUCGUAUUUGUUACUUAGAGCAAGUUUGAGUUUAAUGUUCCUUCACAUCGAAGAACAAUAUCCACAGAAAAUCAAUGAAGGUGUUAAGCAAAGUCAUGCAAAGGAAGCACAAAAAAAAAAAAAGCAUAAUCCCUACACUCUUGAGGUCUUUUGCACAGACAAGGGUAAAAGGAAAAAGCAUUCCUCACAGCUGCUCUUUGCGAUAUUACAGUUAACAAGGGGAACUAUCCCGUCGCCGGAUUAAAAACGGUUCUUGAUUCUGCAGAACUUGUGUGAGGAGGAGUUGCCACUAAGGGCUUUGCUAUUGUCGGUAAACUGCAGUUAGUAUACCUUGGCUCCUGCUUAUUGGUGAAAAUUCCAUGCGGUUGUUCCAGAUGUUGCUGCUACGAAAAAGGUACUCAUUCCCAUAGUACUAAUUUGAGAUACUUAUAGCAUCAUCAUUGCAUAUUUGGUGCCUCAGUGAGUUAAAAUUCACUUAAACCUUAAGGCAGGUACCUAACUCCAGUUGUUUUGAGGCCCUUUUUUCUGAUGUACCUAGCUAUGUUUCUGUAAUUUGAGCGUUAGAAAUAUCAAUAUCGAAAUAGGAUAACAAACUUGUUAAAUGUUGUGAACUGCAAUUGGGUGUCGAUUCUAGCUCGAUUUUCUUUUGGAUAAAUAAAAUGGAAAGACAGCUACUAGAUCUUGAGACUGUAAAACCUUUCUCAGCGUUACUGAACAUUGAGCUCAAGAUGCCCUUGUUACUCAAGGACUGAAGUUUGUAAAUAAGAUUGAUGGCUAAGGAAGUAAUGAACUUUGCUCUCAGAUCAGGUGGAUUGAUUCCGAGGCUUCUGCGGGUGGUUCUCACAAUUGAGGUUCUUUGUAGCUAUUCAACACACUUUCACUGUUACUGCUCUUUGAUGGAGACAUUUCUAUGCAUUUCACGCUUGCUUGGUAGAAUCUUUAUCAACUUUUCACAUUCUUUUUCAUGGAACUAUCGUGAUGUUUGAAUGGUCUCUAAUAAUUUGUUCACCCAUUCCACCAUCAUGGUCACCAAUCUGCUGUCACUAAAGUUGAUAGUCGUGGUUUUGUCACUAAUCUGUGAAUUUUUUGACUGGUUUUAGUAGUGGAAUUGUAAUUCUAAUGUAGUGUGUACUCAUUAUUAUAGUGUUCUUGUAGCAUAAUUAUGUUGUUAUAAAACAAUGGCAUGACAAUUACAAAAAUAGAACAACAGAAUUAGCCGAUCGGGACAGUAUUGAUUCCAUCUUGAACUCUAUAUUCCAAACUUUGUCUAGUUAAGUUUUGACUUUCAUGGUUGUAGUUGUUGUGAUGUUCUUGGUUAAAUCCAAAGGCCAUAAAUAGGCAUAAGCGUUAUCGUCUUUGCACAAUUCUCUUCGUUCUGUGGCUGGUUUCCAGAUUUUUUUUGUACCAGAUCUUCAUUUUGUUGUACUGUAGUUCAGUUCCCCACAACGAGAUGGUAUUUCACAAACAUGCAGAUCGAAAACAAGAUGAAAGACAGAUUCUUCUUCUGAACACUAUACUCAUUUCAGAUUUGAUGAUGGUUUAGUUUUGAUUUAUAUGAAUUUUGUUUUGUGAUCUAAUUAUUGGAGAUGGAUGUGGAGAUGGUGAUGAUGCAGCGCCUGCAGACUCUGGUCCUAUAAGGAAUUGACGUAGGUGCAGUGGUUGGGUUGUGUAUGCGGAACAUCAUACAUUCAGUAAGUACGUGGUGAAUGUGGGGGUGAUGCUUAUUGGGAUUAAGCAUAUGGUAGCUGGUGGUGGAAGAUUGGGGUUUGGUUCCAUUACUUUUCCUGCGGCAAUAAGCAGAGAGAGGUUAGUCGGCUUGCUGCAGUGCCGAUGCUUGCUCAUGAAUGCAAUAUCCUUUCCUCAAUUUGAUUUUACCAGCAGUUAGACAUGCUGCAGCCAAAAUUGGUGCCUUUUGUUGAGGCAGGACAUGGUGUUUGGAAUCCUGCAGAGGCAAUGCCACCAGCUAAUCCAGCCGCACCAGCUCUAGCAUCAGCGACUGAACCAGCAAAAAUACCAGCACCAAUAACUGAGCAGCAUAAGCCAUAGAGCACUAGCAGAAGGAAUCAAGGUGCCUGAUUCUUUUUAAUAACAUCCGUGGAUAUUAGAAAAACAAUUGGAUUUUUUUUUUUUCAAAUGAGAUGCCUGACUCAAAAUUUUUGGAUGGUUACUGGAUUCACAUCUGGACUUUCUCUGAUUAUAGUUUUUUGGAUAUGGGUACCAUCUGGAUACAAGAUUUUAUAUAAUUUCUUGUUUAACUUAUCUUUUUUUAGUUAAUUUGAAUGUGUAUUUAUUUUGGU